CCUACGGGAGGCAGCAGUAGGGAAUAUUGCUCAAUGGGGGAAACCCUGAAGCAGCAACGCCGCGUGGAGGAUGAAGGUUUUCUGAGUGGAAACUCCUUUUGGUAGAGAAGAUAAUGACGGUAUCUAACGAAUAAGCACCGGCUAACUCCGUACCAGCAGCCGCGGUAAUAAGGAGGGUGCAAGCGUUACUCGGAAUCACGGGGCGUAAAGAGCGCGUAGGCGGGAUAGCAAGUCAGAUGUGAAAUCCUAUGGCUGAACCAUAGAACUGCAUGUGAAACUGGUAUUCUAGAGUAUGGGAGAGGUAGGUGGAAUUCGUGGUGUAGGGGUAAAAUCCGUAGAGAUCAAGAGGAAGACUGAUUGCGAAGGCGACCUGCUAGAACAUAACUGACGCUGAUGCGCGAAAGCGUGGGGAGCAAACAGGAUUAGAUACCCGGGUAGUC
Molecule: ribosomal RNA, 440 nt
Filed under: uncultured bacterium
Lineage: Bacteria
Description: partial 16S ribosomal RNA
Rfam family: Bacterial small subunit ribosomal RNA
Source: RNAcentral